This 327-nucleotide ribosomal RNA is filed under the name uncultured eukaryote. Its description in RNAcentral is "partial 18S ribosomal RNA". It matches the Rfam family "Eukaryotic small subunit ribosomal RNA", at positions 1470 to 1796 of the family's 1831-position model. The record is from RNAcentral.
CCCUUAGAUGCUCUGGGCCGCACGCGCGCUACACUGACGAAUGCAACGAGCUUAUAACCUUGGCCGAAAGGUCUGGGUAAUCUCCAAAUUUCGUCGUGAUGGGGAUAGAUUAUUGCAAUUAUUAAUCUUCAACGAGGAAUGCCUAGUAAGCGCAAGUCAUCAGCUUGCGUUGAUUACGUCCCUGCCCUUUGUACACACCGCCCGUCGCUCCUACCGAUUGAAUGGUCCGGUGAAGCGUUCGGACCGUGGCCUUUGGACGGUUCGCCGUCUGUUGGCUGCGGGAAGUUCGUUAAACCUUNUNAUUUAGNGGAAGGAGAANUCGUANCA